Molecule: transfer RNA, 74 nt
Filed under: Amegilla calceifera
Lineage: Eukaryota; Metazoa; Arthropoda; Insecta; Hymenoptera; Apidae
Description: tRNA-Trp
Source: RNAcentral
AAUAUUUUAAGUUAAAUUUACAAAACUUUUAGCCUUCAAAGUUAAAAAUAUUAAAAACUACUUAAUAAAUAUUA